UCACUAAAAAGGGAUAGACAAAGGGGCAUCCACCAGCCCUAGAUUAAGAUAGGGCUGCCACUUAGUAGCAUGCCCUAAGGAUUGAGAAGGGCUCAAGAAAUCAUAAUCGUCUCAUGCUUUCAGCCAUAUAGACUUCAGAUAAGGGUGUUCCAAAGGCGCUUUCCAUUUCAGAUCGGUGGAUUCUAUAAGGUCUGAGGACCAAGUGUACCAUGGUUAGGUGAUCGAGUGUGAGGUGUGUCAAGUUCUAAUGGGGUAACCCCUAGGCAAUAUUUUACGAAGUACUCACAAGUUUUGAGUAUUAUUUGUUUCCUAAGUUGCAAGUUCGGGUUCACUUUACAAUAAAUUUUAUUUGGCAGUAAGAUUGAAAGAUUUU
RNAcentral lists this long non-coding RNA (373 nucleotides) under Amborella trichopoda. RNAcentral's name for it is "long non-coding RNA (ATRI_LNC002911)". The record is from RNAcentral. Lineage: Eukaryota; Viridiplantae; Streptophyta; Magnoliopsida; Amborellales; Amborellaceae.